UGGGGAAUAUUGCACAAUGGGCGAAAGCCUGAUGCAGCAACGCCGCGUGAGUGAUGAAGGUCUUCGGAUUGUAAAGCUCUGUCUUUUGGGACGAUAAUGACGGUACCAAAGGAGGAAGCCACGGCUAACUACGUGCCAGCAGCCGCGGUAAUACGUAGGUGGCGAGCGUUGUCCGGAUUUACUGGGCGUAAAGGGUGCGUAGGCGGAUGUUUAAGUGAGAUGUGAAAUACCCGGGCUUAACUUGGGUGCUGCAUUUCAAACUGGAUAUCUAGAGUGCAGGAGAGGAGAAUGGAAUUCCUAGUGUAGCGGUGAAAUGCGUAGAGAUUAGGAAGAACACCAGUGGCGAAGGCGAUUCUCUGGACUGUAACUGACGCUGAGGCACGAAAGCGUGGGUAGCAAACAGGAUUAGAUACCCUGGUAGUCCACGCCGUAAACGAUGAGUACUAGGUGUGGAGGAGUAUCGACCCCUUCUGUGCCGCAG
Molecule: ribosomal RNA, 481 nt
Filed under: uncultured bacterium
Lineage: Bacteria
Description: partial 16S ribosomal RNA
Rfam family: Bacterial small subunit ribosomal RNA
Source: RNAcentral